RNAcentral lists this ribosomal RNA (223 nucleotides) under uncultured bacterium. RNAcentral describes it as "partial 16S ribosomal RNA". It matches the Rfam family "Bacterial small subunit ribosomal RNA", at positions 328 to 539 of the family's 1533-position model. The record is from RNAcentral.
ACGCUCGACACCUACGGGAGCAGCAGUAGGGAAUCUUCCACAAUGGGCGGCAAGCCUGAUGGAGCAACACCGCGUGAGUGAAGAAGGGUUUCGGCUCGUAAAGCUCUGUUGUUGGAGAAGAACGUGCGUGAGAGUAACUGUUCACGCAGUGACGGUAUCCAACCAGAAAGUCACGGCUAACUACGUGCCAGCAGCUGCGGUAAUCUGAGCGGGCUGGCAAGGC